GACGAACGCUGGCGGCGUGCUUAACACAUGCAAGUCGAACGGAAAGGCCCUGCUUUUGUGGGGUGCUCGAGUGGCGAACGGGUGAGUAACACGUGCGUAACCUGCCCUUGACUUUGGGAUAACUUGAGGAAAAUGGGGCUAUUACCGGAUAGGAGCUCUUGCUGCAUGGUGGGGGUUGGUAAGAUUCGGCGGUUGGGGCUGGGCUCGCGGCUAAUCAGCUUGUUGGUGGGGUAGUGGAUUACCAUGGCUAUGACGGGUAGCCGGCCUGGGGGGGUGACCGGCCACAUUGGAACUGAGGUACGACCCAGACUCCGACGGGGAGCAACAGUGGGGAAUAUAGCACAAGAGGCGGAAGCCGGAGGCAGCAACGCCGCGUGCUGGAUAACGGCCUUCGAGUGAUAAACCGCUUUCGCCUGUGACGAAGCGUGAGUGACGGUAAUGGGUAAAGAAGCACCGGCUAACUACGUG
Molecule: ribosomal RNA, 468 nt
Filed under: uncultured bacterium
Lineage: Bacteria
Description: partial 16S ribosomal RNA
Rfam family: Bacterial small subunit ribosomal RNA
Source: RNAcentral